CAUACCAACGUGUUGUACCUAUAUUCCGACUGUUGAUUUUACAUUUUUAUGUAUGUGUUUGUAUCGCGCCAAAAUAGUCACAGCGUCCGUUUUGAAAGAGAGCAUAGUCAUUCUGUGUGUAGCUCUCGAGCCAAGCGUUUCUAUCAGCUCUUAAACAUAAUAUUUUCAACAGUUUUUUUUUUUUCAAAAGAGUGUGUUUUAUUAAAAAUGGAGGGAAAAAAGGAAGAGUUGAUGCACAAAUCUUUACUGUAUCGGCCACUUCUUGAUAUGUCCACAAAUGAGAAUCAGAUAAUUCAUUUAAUCGACAACGACCUCAUCAGACGACUUUUAUUCGGAUCGCCGCCAUUGGAAACUUCUGAUCAAGUGCCAUCGGUUUCAACCAAUGCCAGGUCGACAAAUCGUUUUGUGGAUAGAACAACAGUGGUUGACACCUCCAAAAAGAGAUGUCCAAACUGUUUGUACGAUUUCAAUAAUUACGCAUUGCACGAACACAAAAAAAUCGAAAGUGGAUGCUGUUUAUGUCGAACCAAAUUUGAUAGCCACGAAGAACUCCGCGAUCAUCUUUUGAAAUUUGCGGCCAAUUUUCUAUGUUGCAUUUGUGGAACACAUCAAUGUGAUGACGAAGAAAAAUAUUACCGUCACGUCAAAAAUUACUGUUACUACAAAAACAAAAAGUAAAGAAAAAAAGAACAAUUCACCGGCGCCAAACUGAUUGAGGGGGAGAAAAAUGCAAAACCAUCAACGAUUUUACUAAGCUGACAACGACACAAAAAUCGGCAUGAAUGCUGCUGCUUUGUGGAAGACACAGUCUCAACGACAAUAAACAAUCCAACAUUUUGUGCGAACUGCGAUUUUUUUUUGUUCUAUCGCCAUUCCAAAAUUCAGUGAAAUAAAUAUUUCAGUCAACGACGUCGA
Long non-coding RNA from Sitodiplosis mosellana (orange wheat blossom midge), 915 nucleotides. RefSeq lists it as uncharacterized. Lineage: Eukaryota; Metazoa; Arthropoda; Insecta; Diptera; Cecidomyiidae. The record is from RefSeq and is a predicted model, not a curated record. The transcript has 3 exons.